GCUUUUCGCAAGCCGGCUAUUUAUUUUCGAAUUCAUUACUCACAAAAAGGCUGACGCCCCCUAAUUUAUUUAGUGCAAAACAGUGUGACCAGGCGCAGAACUUUUUGAAAUACUGGCUUUUCGCAAGCCGGCUAUUUAUUUUCGAAUUCAUUACUCACAAAAAGGCUGACGCCCCCUAAUUUAUUUAGUGCAAAACAGUGUGACCAGGCGCAGAACUUUUUGAAAUACUGACUUUUCGCAAGCCGGCUAUUUAUUUUCGAAUUCAUUACUCACAAAAAGGGUGAGCAAUUUAACGAUAUUUUCCAUUUAAAUACAUUUUAUGAUGUAACAAAAAAGCCUGCAAAGGCAUACCAACGUGGCCAUUUUGUAAUGAAAGUGUUCCUUUAUAAAAUAUAUAAAAUCAUUUAUUAUUUAACACAGCCAUUUUUGCACAUAUUCUGUUUUCGAUGAAAAUUAAUA
This is a long non-coding RNA of Drosophila erecta, 459 nucleotides long. RefSeq lists it as uncharacterized. The record is from RefSeq and is a predicted model, not a curated record. NCBI's taxonomy places the organism in Eukaryota, Metazoa, Arthropoda, Insecta, Diptera, Drosophilidae. The transcript is spliced from 3 exons.